GCCCGAGUAGCUCAUCUGGCCAGAGCACCGGUCUUGUAAACCGGAGGUAGUGGGUUCGAUUCCCACCUCGGGCU
Molecule: transfer RNA, 74 nt
Filed under: bacterium
Lineage: Bacteria
Also listed under: 1 other name
Description: tRNA-Thr
Rfam family: tRNA
About the family: Transfer RNA (tRNA) molecules are approximately 80 nucleotides in length.
Source: RNAcentral